RNAcentral lists this ribosomal RNA (342 nucleotides) under uncultured bacterium. RNAcentral describes it as "bacterial SSU rRNA". It matches the Rfam family "Bacterial small subunit ribosomal RNA", at positions 1 to 334 of the family's 1533-position model. The record is from RNAcentral.
GACGUGACUUCAGAGUUUGAUCCUGGCUCAGGAUGAACGCUAGCUACAGGCUUAACACAUGCAAGUCGAGGGGCAGCACAAGGCAGCAAUGCUGAGGUGGCGACCGGCGCACGGGUGCGUAACGCGUAUCCAACCUUCCCGUUACUCAUGGAUAGCCUUCCGAAAGGGAGAUUAAUACAUGAUGGUGUUGAAAUUCCGCAUGUUAUUUCAACUAAAGAUUUAUCGGUAACGGAUGGGGAUGCGUGACAUUAGAUAGAUGGCGGGGUAACGGCCCACCAUGUCCACGAUGUCUAGGGGUCCUGAGAGGAAGGUCCCCCACACUGGAACUGAGACACGGUCCAG